Long non-coding RNA from Anguilla rostrata (American eel), 827 nucleotides. RefSeq lists it as uncharacterized. Lineage: Eukaryota; Metazoa; Chordata; Actinopteri; Anguilliformes; Anguillidae. The record is from RefSeq and is a predicted model, not a curated record. The transcript has 2 exons.
UGCUCCACACACUUUAAGACCCUCAGCACUGAUCAGUGACUGUCCAGUCCUUUCACAGCCACUGACACAGGCAGCAUUAUGAUGAUGUCAGUCUAUCUACUGCUGGUGAUGCUUGGACUCCUUGCACAGGGAUCAAAGGCAGAUAAAGUUCUGACUCAGGAUCCAGCAGCUCAGUCUUUUCAGCAGGGAGACACUGUCUCUCUCAGCUGUACAGCCAGUGAGAGUGUGAGCGACUACCUUUACUGGUACCUGCAGAAACCUGGUCAGGCUCCUAAACUUCUGAUUUAUCGGGCCACAACUCGACAGUCUGGGAUUCCUGAUCGUUUCAGUGGGAGUGGAUCUGGGACUCAGUUCACACUGAAAAUCACUGGAGUCCAGGCUGAGGAUGCAGGAGAUUAUUACUGUCAGCACGGCUAUAGGCCGUUCACACAGUGUUAGAGAGCCGUACAAAAACCUCCCUCAGUCAGACUGCACAGAGACUGCACUGCUGCAGCUGGGACCUACUGCAGGUGCUGAGGGGGGAGGCACUGGUCUGUGACCUAGAGGGGCUCUGCUCAAAUUCUGAGCAGAUUUGUGCAUUAAUAACUGUCAUAAUCUAAUAUUUUAUACAAUUGCUUUAAAUGCUAAUGUGAGCAGAUCAAAUACCUUCCUCUUAAAAUCCAUUUUAAUUUAUAUAAGCAUAAACCUUUCAUUAACAGAAUACACUUGAGAUAAUGGAGCUUAUACGCUUGAGAUAUCGGUACUUUGUAAACACAAGGACAACAUGCACAGAUUUAAGAAUAGACUGGAGUGUUGAAUUGCUAUUAAAUUACAUUUACUGGACCAGA